UACGUAGGGUGCAAGCGUUGUCCGGAAUUAUUGGGCGUAAAGAGCUCGUAGGCGGUUUGUUGCGUCGGCUGUGAAAUCCCGAGGCUCAACCUCGGGUCUGCAGUCGAUACGAGCAAACUAGAGUGUUGCAGGGGAGACUGGAAUUCCUGGUGUAGCGGUGAAAUGCGCAGAUAUCAGGAGGAACACCGGUGGGCGAAAGGCGGGGUCUCUGGGGCGAACAACUGACGC
RNAcentral lists this ribosomal RNA (228 nucleotides) under uncultured bacterium. RNAcentral's name for it is "partial 16S ribosomal RNA". It matches the Rfam family "Bacterial small subunit ribosomal RNA", at positions 524 to 746 of the family's 1533-position model. The record is from RNAcentral.